RNAcentral lists this ribosomal RNA (702 nucleotides) under Bacillus subtilis. Its description in RNAcentral is "bacterial SSU rRNA". The stretch from base 73 to 702 matches the Rfam family "Bacterial small subunit ribosomal RNA", at positions 874 to 1504 of the family's 1533-position model. The record is from RNAcentral. Lineage: Bacteria; Bacillati; Bacillota; Bacilli; Caryophanales; Bacillaceae.
GCGAUGAAGGGUAAAGAGGAAGGGGGGGUUCCGCCCCAUAAGUAAUGCAGAUAAGCAUUGAAGCACUCCGCGUGGGGAGUAGGGUCGCAAGGGUGAAACUUAAAGGAAUUGACGGGGGACCGCACAAGCGGUGGAGCAUGUGGUUUAAUUUGAAGCAACGGGAAGAACCUUACCAGGUCUUGACAUCCUUGGACAAUCCUAGAGAUAGGACGUCCCCUUCGGGGGCAGAGUGACAGGUGGUGCAUGGUUGUGGUCAGCUCGUGUCGUGAGAUGUUGGGUUAAGUCCCGCAACGAGCGCAACCCUUGAUCUUAGUUGCCAGCAUUCAGUUGGGCACUUUAAGGUGACUGCCGGUGACAAACCGGAGGAAGGUGGGGAUGAAGUCAAAUCAUCAUGCCCCUUAUGACCUGGGCUACACACGUGCUACAAUGGACAGAACAAAGGGCAGCGAAACCGCGAGGUUAAGCCAAUCCCACAAAUCUGUUCUCAGUUCGGAUCGCAGUUUGCAACUCGACUGCGUGAAGCUGGAAUCGCUAGUAAUCGCGGAUCAGCAUGCCGCGGUGAAUACGUUCCCGGGCCUUGUACACACCGCCCGUCACACCCCGAGAGUUUGUAACACCCGAAGUCGGUGAGGUAACCUUUAUGGAGCCAGCCGCCGAAGGUGGGACAGAUGAUUGGGGUGAAGUCGUAACAAGGUAGCCGUU